CUGUACUAUACAGUGGUAUCAGUUUAAAUGGUUAUAUAAAUAUCCAUGUUUUAUCCUUAAUUUUGUCUUGUAGUCUAAAAUGUUUACUAUCUUGCCUUUCAAGAAAAAGUUUCCUGAUCCCUUAUCUAGGAUACAAAGGAGGAAUCCCAAAUUCAUGGCGAUGGAGAAGAUGGACUGGCUGAGUUCUCCACAGCUUACUUACUUCCUGCUCUGAUUUGUAUCCCAACAAGACUUGCUUCCUGUUACUAACAUGUGUGGCUGGACCAGUACAGAGAGCUGCAUUUCAGAGGACAGGUCAAAGAAUAAUGUGAUCAGGAGCUGUAUAGUCAGAAACCAGAAGAAAUGCUUGAUUCUAAGAUUCUCAGUCAUCCAACUAAUGUUGAUGAGAGUGGUAAGUAGGAGUUGGUUCCAGUUGACUGAUAA
RNAcentral lists this long non-coding RNA (423 nucleotides) under Ovis aries (sheep). RNAcentral's name for it is "lncRNA (ENSOARG00000025674.1)". The record is from RNAcentral. Lineage: Eukaryota; Metazoa; Chordata; Mammalia; Artiodactyla; Bovidae.